Molecule: ribosomal RNA, 468 nt
Filed under: uncultured bacterium
Lineage: Bacteria
Description: partial 16S ribosomal RNA
Rfam family: Bacterial small subunit ribosomal RNA
Source: RNAcentral
GACGAACGCUGGCGGCGUGCUUAACACAUGCAAGUCGAACGGAAAGGCCCUGCUUUUGUGGGGUGCUCGAGUGGCGAACGGGUGAGUAACACGUGAGUAACCUGCCCUUGACUUUGGGAUAACUUCAGGAAACUGGGGCUAAUACCGGAUAGGAGCUCCUGCUGCAUGGUGGGGGUUGGAAAGUUUCGGCGGUUGGGGAUGGACUCGCGGCUUAUCAGCUUGUUGGUGGGGUAGUGGCUUACCAAGGCUUUGACGGGUAGCCGGCCUGAGAGGGUGACCGGCCACAUUGGGACUGAGAUACGGCCCAGACUCCUACGGGAGGCAGCAGUGGGGAAUAUUGCACAAUGGGCGGAAGCCUGAUGCAGCAACGCCGCGUGCGGGAUGACGGCCUUCGGGUUGUAAACCGCUUUCGCCUGUGACGAAGCGUGAGUGGCGGUAAUGAGUAAAGAAGCACCGGCUAACUACGUG